CAAAGGGAAGUCCCAGAAGCAAGGGCAGAGGGGGAGAGGGCUCAGGUCUGGCUGGGAGGAGAAAACGGCCCCCACUGGAGUCUGUGCAGCCUCUUUGGCUCUAGAUACAAUUUCAGCAAGAAGAUGCUGGACAGUUUCUAUGAUUAGAAGAGGCACUUAAGAAGAGGAAAGGGUUUCUCCAGAGAGGUUCCUGGUCAUCUGAGGGUUUGGAGGGUCCCAGUAGGAUUUAUAGGGAGGAAAUUGUGAUGGGUAGAAAGUCCUGGGCUCACUCUUUGAUUUUCCUACCCCAGGGUCAAUCACUGUUGAAAGGAGAGAUCUUAGCUGUAGACCUUUGGGAGAGAGAGAUUGAUUCUGGGGUCAGGAUUGUAGCUUAGUGGUCUACUACUUGCCUAGCAUGUGUAAGGCCCUCGGUUCAAUCUCCAGCACUGCAAAUUAAUUAAUUAAUUAAUUAAUUAGAUGGUUUCUUUUCUGUCCUCUGUGUGGAUUUCAUUCUCUCAGGCUUUCUGGCAGCUCUCAAGUUGUCGUCAACCCAGCUUCCCAACCAGAAAGAAAAUAGAGCUUCUCUCUCUUGGAUCCAGCAUGAAAGUUCCCAGAAAAAGAUUUUGCAUUGGCCCAGCCUGAGGGGUGCCCUAUGUCCUAGGGGUCCACUAGGCCCAUCAUAGUGGUCCUGGAAACAGGAUGACCCAUCAUGAGGUGAGUAGGCUUCCUCUACUACGAUGUGCUGCCUCAUCACAGGCCAGAAGCAAUGGGGCCAACUGACCAUGAAGUGAAACCUACAAAAUGUAACAGAAUAUGAAUAACACAAAGUGCAACAGGAAGGAAACAAAAAGAAGAAGGAGACCAUGGAUGAGUCCAGUCGACAGAGCUCUGCAGUAGUUUGAGCAAAUUAUUUAAUUCAUCUGAUUUCUUCCUGGAAAAACUGGGAGACUUUUAGAAACUUUUACACAACUCGCAGUAUUCUUUUUGUCUGUGAUAUGUACUAACUACAUAUAAUUAUUGGUUUUGAAACUACAGACCAAUCCAUGGAAAGAGCAGCUCUCAGGACUGCUUUGCUCGUCUGGACAAUGGAGAUGGCACCUGCUCAUUAAGCCAUUGGGAGAUUCAAUAAAAUAACUAAGUUAAAUCUCACAAUUCUUGGCUCCAGUAACACAUCCAACACAUUGCCUAGCAAUGAUGUGCAAAUGUAUCAGUGAUCGCUGGACGCAGUUCUCUCCCACGCAGCUUCAUGUGGGAUUUUCCUCCAUUUUAACCAGCAGAAUGCUCUUAAUUACCAGAACAGCUUCUUGUACUGGGGAAACAAAAAUACAAGAGCAACUGGUACACAGAGUGGUCACAUCUAGGCAGAGUAGGAGAGACGAAUAACGCCAGGGGAAAAUGCUCUUUUUUUACCUUGUGCAAAGCCCUUAUUUAUACCUUGCUCACUUUCAAAAAUGAUUAAUGAUGCUGUAGUAGGAUUUAAAGAGUGAAAAUCUUGCUUCAGAUUCCUACCUCACCUUGUAGGUAAAUAAUUU
RNAcentral lists this long non-coding RNA (1511 nucleotides) under Heterocephalus glaber (naked mole-rat). Its description in RNAcentral is "lncRNA (ENSHGLG00100033269.1)". Lineage: Eukaryota; Metazoa; Chordata; Mammalia; Rodentia; Bathyergidae. The record is from RNAcentral.